AUUAGGCUACAGACAGAAACGUAGGGUGAAAAGGCAGGGGACUGCAUAGAAGGGAAAAGGAAUAUCGGAGGAGGGUAGCUGGGCACAAAAAGCUGCAUGACCUAGGAUUACAGUUGCUAUGGCAAUCAGGCUGUUAUAUAGGAGGAAGGAGCUAAAGAAAACUUCUCAUGUGAGAAGAAAACAAAUGGGUUUCAUUUGUUCACCUGUCAAACUUAUCAAGCUGCAUAGUAUCAAAUAUGAGGAUCCAUGGUGUUGAAUGUAGGAGAGAGGUAAAUGGUUUCCACAGAGUCCUCACUACUAGAAGAAAGAAAGUCCAGUUUUGAGGUAUUUUGGCUGGGUUUUGCUUGCGCUUCUGGGAUUGAUGACCAAGGAUCAAACAAGUGUUUUGCAGCUUGGGGAUUAUUUGCAUCUGACUGCUUCCUUGAGGGAGGCUUCAGAGUGAUUGUAGAAACAGGAUCUGUGGCAGUGUUGUCACCUCUCCUGCUCCUGUUCCUGCUCCAUUUUUGUGAAGAUGGUAGACUUAUCUCUGAGGAAUAGGAAGCAACACCUGUAAAGCAACAAAUGAGAAUGAUUCUACCAAAAACGACUCAUGUCUUAAGGUGCCUUUCCCAACUUUUCUCAAGUUAGGCAGAAUUGCUCAGUGUUACUAUACUGCACUGAAUAACCAUAAUUUCAAAGCAUUUUACAAUAUAUUAAGCACUACACCUUCAUUUUUUUUAUAGAGAGCAUUCAGUGCAGGGAGGUAAAUUGACACUCUUGAAGUUAUUGAAUGAGUUAGUGUCCUGUCUGGAGGUCUCCACUGCCAAUAGUGCAGUUGUUUGUAAUGAUAUCAGAAAAAAUGUGCUAAUAUAACAUUCUAAUCACUACAUCUAAUUACAACUAAGCAUAAGUUACUAACGCUAAGCGUCUUGUGUGUAAUUAAAAAUUUAACAAUCAAACAAGAAGAUGCAAUCUUGAUUGUCAUCUUAAACUACAUCAGACUAUGUGAUUCAACAGUGGAAUGUAUGAGCUAGGCAGUGACUCUUGAAAUACUUAAAAGUAAGGGUUUUUUAAGUAAGCUAAAAUGAAAAUUAAAUUAGCCAAAAUAUUACUUAGCAGCAAUUUCUAAAAGACCCUGUUUUUCUAUUCAUUUAAAAGGGGAUCUAGUUCCAGUUUCUUAAGCCAAAAUUCAGGAUGCCUUGCUCCCCUAAUCAUGGAAUCAGUAUGUGACCAAAAUGGUUGAAUUGUGGGUUUGAUGUUAAAAGUAUGAAAACUGGCAUAAAUGUCUUGAUUAACCUAAGUUUUGGAGACUUGACUUCAGUUUAUAAUAUCAAAGAUCCUUGUAUGCUUGUAAUAGAUAUAAUUUAUUUUAUCAGAAUAAUGUCAUCUGUGAAGGAAGUUUUGUUUUUUUGCUGAAACCAAAUUUCUAGACCAAAUCUAUCAUUUAAAAUAAUUUUAUUUAAAUAGAUGUCAUACUAAUGGAAUUAGCAAGGAAUCAAAUCAGUAAAUACUACAGGUUAUUACAGCCAUUGUAAUCCUCAAAUACUAGUUUCCAAAAUUGCUUUUUUAUACCAGGCUUGUUGCAAACUGUGUGUAUCAGUGUUCUCCCUGAGAUCCCACUAUAGGCAAGGUGCUCAGAUUGCUUUGUAGACAUAUAUAUAACUGUGGAAUGAAUGACCCAAAUACAGCUGCAAGCAGUGUAGCUUGUUUUUAGCAACACAUACUAUGCAACAACAAUAGUCCACAUGUGGAAAACUAGCGCACUUCCUACAUGUGGCAAAUAGCUGACAUGAGAAAAUGACUUUAUGUUGGGAGUUUUAAAAUGCUUUAAAAAAGGUGAAAGUAAAUUAGUCCAGAGAAUUGCAAUUGUUUAUUUCAAAGGUCAUGGAUAAUUCUAGUACUGAUGUUUUUGUCAACUUGAAUGCUGUGAAAUGUCAAAAAUCAAAAAGUGCAGGGUUAUAAUAGUGUCUAGCAGAUGAGAUGCAUCAACAAGCCAGUGUUCAAACAAGAUCAUAGGACUUCAGCUCUUGCAAGAGGCUUCCACAUAUUUAGUGCAUACUGACUCUUCUAACCUGCUUAAACAAUGCAAAUGAAAUCAAGACUAUCUUUUAAUGAACAAAGAAAGUGGUGUAAGUCUUGCUAGUUACAGUACAAUUUAACUUAAGCUUCAAAUGAAUUCACAUAUCACUGAAUCAUCUGAGGAUGGCCCACCUCAGCCCUCCCAUUUCCAGAAAAAAGUCAUCUAAAAUAAUUAAUGUAGAUGCAAAAGAAAGUACCAGUGCAGUUUCUUUAGUGAUAAUGAUUUGUUGGAUCUGUCUUGGCAUUUAGUAACAAUUUUGAAGUUAUGUGUUCUGUUAAGAUAAUUGUGGCAUAUUCAAGGGAAAGCAAAUCUGGCAAAAUUAAGUGCUGGUGACAUGCUAGCAAUAGAAGCAGUUUAUCAGGCCAGCUGUCUUAGUUAAUUCUAUAAGGCACAACUGUGAAAAAGAGGUUAUUCAGUGAAUUCUGCUGGAAUCCUUCAUGACCUUGUGUUCACUGAAAUUAUCUCAUUAAUGAACAGAAGACAUAAGGCAAAACAUCCAUAUCAAGGUUAGCCGAAUUGACUAAUGCACUUUUUUAGAAUAAUUUGGUGAGCAAGUAGAGGAUGUAUUCAUAGUACUGAUUUCAAGAAUAGACUUGUAUCAUUUUGUCCAAAUUUAUUUGCAAACAAGAAAAGCCAAGAUGUUUUCACAGCAUUUGAUGAUAAUGUUGGUACAAUGCUGCAUGAUGAUUGUGUUGAUAGCAGUGAUGAUGAGGGUGCUUAUCUUGAUAAAGCUGUAAAUAUGGAAAAGCAGAGAUGGCUUGAAUUCAACACGCUUUGACAGUACUUUCAAUUAAAAUUACCAAUAGGGUUCCUUAUCAAGAACUCCUUUUAGCUUAUAAUGAUCAAUGUAAAUGGACUGAACAUGUCUAAAACUGAUCAUGGAAAGAUUUUUAAGCUGCAGGUUUGCAAUAGUAUUAUGUAGUUUUUGGCUUUUAACUUGUAAAUGUUGAAGAUAAUUAUGCAAUACAUUAUCCAAAUGACCCAACAACAUCAGGAAGCUCCUUUUUACCAUAUAUGUUAGUUAUAUAUAAUGUUAUUGUCAAAUGUAUCUAUUCAAUCUUGUUAACAGAGUGUUUGAUCUCAGCUUUUGUGUUGUAUGACAGAGUUCUGUAAGUAGCAGAUGACAUGGCUCAUGCUAUUAGUGAAUGAUUUAUAAUGCCUUUAUAACCCAUAUCUACAAAAAUCCAUAGCAGCCUGUGACAGCAAAUAUCAUAACACAAAUUCAGCAGUGAUGGAUAGUACUUUUCAUGGGACUAAUAUUUCACUGCUCCAGUAUCCACGUGCCUACAUCUCUGGUCAAAUUCUGAAUAGAUUUGCAUUGCCUUGCACAUAGUCAAAACUAAAAACAUAAUUACAAUAUUGCUGCCAGCUAUACUGAAGAACAAAGACACUUCCAUACUUGCAAUAGACAUGAGUAACUGGAAACAGCAACUCUAUCAAUAAAAAUAG
Alligator mississippiensis (American alligator) is the source of this 3508-nucleotide long non-coding RNA. RefSeq lists it as uncharacterized. NCBI's taxonomy places the organism in Eukaryota, Metazoa, Chordata, Crocodylia, Alligatoridae. The record is from RefSeq and is a predicted model, not a curated record. The transcript has 4 exons.